AACGCGAAGAACCUUACCAGCCCUUGACAUGUGACUCGCCGGGACCAGAGACGGUCCCUUCGGUUCGGCCGGAGUCAACACAGGUGCUGCAUGGCUGUCGUCAGCUCGUGUCGUGAGAUGUUGGGUUAAGUCCCGCAACGAGCGCAACCCUCGUCUCCAGUUGCCAUCAGGUUAUGCUGGGCACUUUGGAGAAACUGCCGGUGACAAGCCGGAGGAAGGUGGGGAUGACGUCAAGUCCUCAUGGCCCUUACGGGCUGGGCUACACACGUGCUACAAUGGCGGUGACAAUGGGAUGCGAAGGUGCGAGCCGGAGCCGAUCCUAAAAAGCCGUCUCAGUUCGGAUUGCACUCUGCAACUCGAGUGCAUGAAGUUGGAAUCGCUAGUAAUCGAGGAUCAGCAUGCCUCGGUGAAUACGUUCCCGGGCCUUGUACACACCGCUCGCGA
Molecule: ribosomal RNA, 444 nt
Filed under: uncultured bacterium
Lineage: Bacteria
Description: bacterial SSU rRNA
Rfam family: Bacterial small subunit ribosomal RNA
Source: RNAcentral